CCGACAGCAGACUGAGGUGGCGCGCCGACACGAGGCGCGGAUGAAGCGCCUGGAGGAUCUACUUCUGCAGCAGGCAGCAGCUUCUAGGGAGACACAGGGCCCUACACCGCCAGCACCAGUUGUGGACGUUGCACCGAGAGCGCCGUCCCCCGCGCCCAGUUCUUCGCGUGCGGCGCCUGCGGCCGUACCCCAGGAGGAGGUUUUGGCGGCACCACCUGUGCAAAGGCCUCCGGUUGGAGCUGCUUUUCCUACUUUGGUUGAGGGGGCGGAGCGAGACAGACUGAUGGAGCGCCUCAAUGAGUUCAGGAGGUGCAGUCCCCGAGUCUUCGAUGGCGAGAAGGUCG
RNAcentral lists this long non-coding RNA (344 nucleotides) under Ananas comosus (pineapple). RNAcentral's name for it is "long non-coding RNA (ACOM_LNC038913)". The record is from RNAcentral. Lineage: Eukaryota; Viridiplantae; Streptophyta; Magnoliopsida; Poales; Bromeliaceae.